GACGAACGCUGGCGGCGUGCUUAACACAUGCAAGUCGAACGGAAAGGCCCUGCUUUUGUGGGGUGCUCGAGUGGCGAACGGGUGAGUAACACGUGAGUAACCUGCCCUUGACUUUGGGAUAACUUCAGGCAACUGGGGCUAAUACCGGAUAGGAGCUCCUGCUGCAUGGUGGGGGUUGGAAAGUUUCGGCGGUUGGGGAUGGACUCGCGGCUUAUCAGCUUGUUGGUGGGGUAGUGGCUUACCAAGGCUUUGACGGGUAGCCGGCCUGAGCGGGUGACCGGCCACAUUGGGAUUGGGAUACGGCCCAGACUCCUCCGGGAGGCAGCAGUGGGGAAUAUUGCACAAUGGGCGGAAGCCUGAUGCAGCAACGCCGCGUGCGGGAUGACGGCCUUCGGUUUGUAAACCGCUUUCGCCUGUGACGAAGCGUGAGUGACGGUAAUGGGUAAAGAAGCACCGGCUAACUACGUG
This 468-nucleotide ribosomal RNA is filed under the name uncultured bacterium. RNAcentral describes it as "partial 16S ribosomal RNA". It matches the Rfam family "Bacterial small subunit ribosomal RNA", at positions 28 to 507 of the family's 1533-position model. The record is from RNAcentral.